Molecule: ribosomal RNA, 398 nt
Filed under: uncultured bacterium
Lineage: Bacteria
Description: partial 16S ribosomal RNA
Rfam family: Bacterial small subunit ribosomal RNA
Source: RNAcentral
AUACGUAGGGUGCGAGCGUUGUCCGGAAUUACUGGGCGUAAAGAGCUCGUAGGUGGUUUGUCGCGUCGUCUGUGAAAUUCCGGGGCUUAACUCCGGGCGUGCAGGCGAUACGGGCAUAACUUGAGUACUGUAGGGGAGACUGGAAUUCCUGGUGUAGCGGUGAAAUGGGCAGAUAUCAGGAGGAACACCGGGGGCGAAGGCGGGUCUCUGGGCAGUAACUGACGCUGAGGAGCGAAAGCAUGGGUAGCGAACAGGAUUAGAUACCCUGGUAGUCCAUGCCGUAAACGGUGGGCGCUAGGUGUAGGGGUCUUCCACGACUUCUGUGCCGUAGCUAACGCAUUAAGCGCCCCGCCUGGGGAGUACGGCCGCAAGGCUAAAACUCAAAUGAAUUGACGGGG